This 282-nucleotide ribosomal RNA is filed under the name uncultured bacterium. RNAcentral describes it as "partial 16S ribosomal RNA". It matches the Rfam family "Bacterial small subunit ribosomal RNA", at positions 28 to 310 of the family's 1533-position model. The record is from RNAcentral.
GACGAACGCUGGCGGCGUGCUUAAUACAUGCAAGUCAACGACUUUUAGAGUAGCAAUAUUUUAAAAGGAGUGGCGCACGGUGAGUAACACGUAGGUAAUCUGCCUUCAGGACUGACACAACUCGUCGAAAGACGGGCUAAUAUCAGAUAAUGCAGCGGCUCCGCAUGGAGACAGUUGUUAAAGUACAAGCGCCUGAAGAUGAGCCUGCGGUCCAUUAGCUAGUUGUAGAGUAACAGCCUACCAAGGCAACGAUGAUAGCUGGUCUGAGAGGAUGAUCAGCCA